This 76-nucleotide transfer RNA is filed under the name Oscillospiraceae bacterium. RNAcentral's name for it is "tRNA-Thr". It matches the Rfam family "tRNA". From Rfam's summary of the family: Transfer RNA (tRNA) molecules are approximately 80 nucleotides in length. Their secondary structure includes four short double-helical elements and three loops (D, anti-codon, and T loops). The record is from RNAcentral. Lineage: Bacteria; Bacillati; Bacillota; Clostridia; Eubacteriales; Oscillospiraceae.
GCUUCUGUAGCUCAGUUGGUAGAGCAAUUCAUUCGUAAUGAAUAGGUCAGCGGUUCGAAUCCGCUCAGAAGCUCCA